This 2060-nucleotide long non-coding RNA is filed under the name Physcomitrium patens. RNAcentral describes it as "long non-coding RNA (PPAT_LNC000828)". Lineage: Eukaryota; Viridiplantae; Streptophyta; Bryopsida; Funariales; Funariaceae. The record is from RNAcentral.
CACCCACCAAACUCAUUGACCUCUUGCGAAGACCACAGCGUGUUUCUGUCAGCCUUUUGAGUUUAUGAGACACACGACAUUGCGAAUGUGAAAGAGAAUGAGAAAGAGAGAGACCCAACCAGCCAGGCAGCCCACUCUUUGCCAUACUUCGCCGACUGCUCCUUUGACAAUGUGGUGGGGUAGUGGCGGAGCCGCUCAUACGUUUCCUGUGUCGUGAAACCGCCACACGCUCCCUACGGUACGAAUUCCGCCAUCGCCCCCAUCAUCAAUAACAGAAACCCUAAAAACAACAUACACACACACACACACACACUCUAUAUCUCUCUCUCAUUUACUCAAGGCCGACCAGACCUAAGUCAGAGCUACGCGGAAUGAAAGCCCUAAUUCCAGGUAGCUGAGAUGUGUGAAGGAGGAGUUUUGUCUUAUUAUGAAACACUUAUUAUUGUGAAGAAUAAAUUCAUUCGAUGGAUACAUCGAGUAUUGGCUAAUAUAUGCAAACGUUAUGUGCCAUUUUCUGCUUGAAAUCGAUGCUUGAGCUCCAUUCCUUUGGUUGCUAGCGCUGCCUUUCAGGAUGAUCUCAUAUUUUUAUAUGUGAGUGGAUUUGGUGCUUUAUUCAUUUACUCAUUUUUAUGUUUGUAAUGAUGUUGUCAUCUUCAUUCAUUCAUACAACUCACGGAUUGUACGUAAUGGAUUUAAAUCAAUCUUCAUGCAAUGCAACCUCAAAACUUUGAAUGUUAUUUGAAGGCAAUUUUUUUACCCGGUGUCAAGAUCCCAGAAGACUUGGGCUUUCAAAGUACAUAAUGGUUCAGUAGAACAAUACAUCCAUAUAAUAAAGUUGCUAAUUUUCUGGUAAGUUAUGAGUUGUAAUGAUAUUAUUAUUACUCUGAUAUAAGCUUAAAAAUAUAAUUGGCUCUAUCUCUCAAAUUCUUCUCAAGUUAUAUCAACAAUAUAUGAUGAAUAAAUCUUAGAAUUGCUUGUAUAUAUAUAUAUAUAUAUAUAUAUAUUCAAAUUUUACUACCUUUUGUACAUAUACAUUUAAGACAUUUUUUAUUAUACAAUUUAUUCUUUAAUUAAAGUCAUGGCAUGUAUUAAGAGGAUAUGGAUCCAGCAAAUAUGAAAAGCUUAUAAAGAUGGUGUGUAAAAUAAUACAUAAGUAAAAUAAAUAAAUAAACAAAUAGUCAACUUGUAAAGUAGAACACAUUAAAAAUUAAAAAAAAUGAAAAUGAAAAUGAAAAACCCUUGAAAAAUUACAGAAUUAUAGAUUUUAAAAAAAAACUUGAGCUAAAUGCCAAUUUUCCUUGUUGAUAACACAAAAACGCCAAAAAUUAGGCUCCCAAAAACAUGUUAGAAGUUAGCAACAUAUUGGUAGUUAAAUAGGAAUAACAGGGUUAUAUUUAAAAGGACAAUAAAUUCACAAACCUUCCAAUUCAAAGUUUCAACACAAUAAGAUAUUGUGCACACUAAACUUCACCCAUAUUAGCUUAUGUAUGAAGGUGUUAAGAACAAUGGUAGCUUGUGUUCUACAUAUAUAUUAAUCCAAGGACAACCAACUUGUUGGUACAACUAAAAAAAAAACCAAGGCCUCAAGGAUGUUCAUCUCCCUAUUCUCAUUCUAAACCGCUCAACAUCACUCCACCAAUUUUUUUGUUGAAACAAGCAAAAGGUGAUUAGUUAAAAGCUGCAUCAAAUGGCCAAACCCUACUACUACAACAACAACAACAACAACAAACAAACAAAUGAAAAAAAAAAUGUGGGAAUAAUAACACCCCUCAACACAAUAGUAGUUUUAUCAUUGUUUUGCAACUUUAGGAUUGGUCCAUUUUUCACGUGCUUGUGCACGGUUUGCUUGUACAAUUGUUCAAUCUUUGCACUCGAAUUCCUGUUGUUUUUUUGGGUGCUCCAUUGAGAGAUUGAGAGACUGAUUUUCUGACCGUGUCAUUGCCUGAGGAAAGUCUGCACAAAGGCUUUGUCCUCUUUCCACACUCCCUUUGAAGGCUGUGCACAUGCAAGAAUGGAGCCAAAUGAAUUCAUCAUGCCUGAGUCCACAUAAAUAAAUAAAU